Molecule: ribosomal RNA, 429 nt
Filed under: Acidobacteriota bacterium
Lineage: Bacteria; Pseudomonadati; Acidobacteriota
Description: Acidobacteria bacterium partial 16S ribosomal RNA
Rfam family: Bacterial small subunit ribosomal RNA
Source: RNAcentral
UGGGGAAUUUUGGACAAUGGGGGAAACCCUGAUCCAGCCAUCCCGCGUGUGCGAUGAAGGCCUUCGGGUUGUAAAGCACUUUUGGCAGGAAAGAAACGUCAUGGGUUAAUACCCCGUGAAACUGACGGUACCUGCAGAAUAAGCACCGGCUAACUACGUGCCAGCAGCCGCGGUAAUACGUAGGGUGCAAGCGUUAAUCGGAAUUACUGGGCGUAAAGCGUGCGCAGGCGGUUCGGAAAGAAAGAUGUGAAAUCCCAGAGCUCAACUUUGGAACUGCAUUUUUAACUACCGGGCUAGAGUGUGUCAGAGGGAGGUGGAAUUCCGCGUGAAGCAGUGAAAUGCGUAGAUAUGCGGAGGAACACCGAUGGCGAAGGCAGCCUCCUGGGAUAACACUGACGCUCAUGCACGAAAGCGUGGGGAGCAAACAGG